GGGCUUUGUUUGCACAGGAUAGGUGGGAGGCGUUGGAAAUUUUCUUGCGGGAAGAUUGGAGCCGUUGGUGAGAUACCACUCUAACAAUGCUAGGAUUCUAACCCUACACCGUUAUCCGGUUAGGGGACAGUUUCAGGUGGUCAGUUUGACUGGGGCGGUCGCCUCCCAAAAGGUAACGGAGGCGUGCAAAGGUUUCCUCAGGCUGGUCGGAAAUCAGUCGUAGAGUGUAAAGGCAUAAGGAAGCUUGAUUGUGAGACCUACAAGUCGAACAAAGACGAAAGUCGGCCUUAGUGAUCCGACGGUUCCGAGUGGAAGGGCCGUCGCUCAACGGAUAAAAGUUACUCUAGGGAUAAC
This 354-nucleotide ribosomal RNA is filed under the name uncultured eukaryote. Its description in RNAcentral is "LSU rRNA". It matches the Rfam family "Bacterial large subunit ribosomal RNA", at positions 2125 to 2478 of the family's 2925-position model. The record is from RNAcentral.